CAAGCAGUUCCAUCUAAAGAGUGAAACUUCAAAUUGGAUAAAGAGAAUGACAAAAAAACAACAACAACACAUACUGGCACACAAUAUCACCUGUACGCAUCACCUGUACAAGAAAUCUGUACACAAUCAAAUCUUUCAGAAGAUGCUGUCGCCACAAGUUUUUUUAGGGAAAGUACACACAUUUCUGAAAGGAACUGCAGUUUUUUCAUUGUCUUUUCCUUUGAGUCUUUUGUUAAUUGGAUUGGAGAAGCUGACUGAAAUAGAACUUUUUUCAUGCCCAUGCGUAGUUGAGCUAAAUGCAUUACUAACCACAUCUAUCUUCAUUGGUCCAGCUCUUUUUACAUUUACUUUAAUGUUCAUCCUUUUAAGACCUUGUAAACAUGGGUGCAGUCGUUGUUGUGCAGGAGUAUAUGAUGAUACUCAGCAGAACUGCCCUAAAGCCUUUGCAUCUUGUCUGAUUCCACCUGUGAUAUGGAUCUUCCUCUUGUUCCUUGAUGGUGAAUACUUUGCUUGUGGCAUGACAGACUGGAAGGGAGUUUAUGUGUACGAUCAGGAGCUCAACAGGCCUUGGUGUAAACCUACUGAAAAAACACGAAACGAGACUGUGCUACGUGAUUUGAAUCGCAAAUACAUUCAUGAAUCUCAGCAUGCAGGUUAUGUCUGGAUCACUGUCUUCAGUGUCUUGGUGAUUGCCGUAGUGGGUAUUUAUGACUGCUGCAUUAGUGGAAAAUGUAAAUGGUGCCCACGUGAACUGUCGUGCUGCUGCGGACAAAUGAUGGAGACACAGAGUGAGCAACAAGAUUCUGGAGCAGGUUCUC
Molecule: long non-coding RNA, 818 nt
Organism: Carassius carassius (crucian carp)
Lineage: Eukaryota; Metazoa; Chordata; Actinopteri; Cypriniformes; Cyprinidae
Exons: 3
Source: RefSeq, a predicted model, not a curated record